RNAcentral lists this unclassified non-coding RNA (574 nucleotides) under Haliotis rubra (blacklip abalone). RNAcentral's name for it is "zinc finger protein 506-like, transcript variant X1". Lineage: Eukaryota; Metazoa; Mollusca; Gastropoda; Lepetellida; Haliotidae. The record is from RNAcentral.
UUUGAUAAAUCUAUCAUGUCUGCCAGUACCAUGCGCGUAGAGCAACUACAAAAUAACAGACUGCACCAACUACACGCGUGAUGUAUGUACCCUUGAAGCAGAUGAAAUCAGGGUACUCAUCAUCGUUCCCAUGGUAUCUCUAAGGGCAGCUCAUUGACCUGUUCCGGUAACUUUAAUUACUUGACUGUUGUUAUGGAAACUGAAGGCCGGAUUCUGAAUGAUGACCGUGAUGAUAGUACCACUGAACAGGAGACUCUAGGAACAGGUGUUAAGAAACCUAAAUCAUGUCAGAGCGGACUGAAGUGUGUGGAGUGUGGCAAAGAAUUCUCAACACCGAGUAACUGCCGGAAACAUAUGAAAAUUCACAGUGGAAUCAAGUCUAAUGUGUGUAGAGAGUGUGGGGAAAUCAUAUUCAACUUCAAGCGACCUGAAGAGACACUUGAUGACUCAUAGUGGAGUGAAGCCUUACCAGUGCAGUGAGUGUGAGAAAGCAUUUGGACAAUCAAGUGACUUAAAGACACACCUGAGGUGCCACAGUGGAGUCAAACCUUAUCAGUGUAAGGAAUGUGGGAAA